This 229-nucleotide ribosomal RNA is filed under the name uncultured bacterium. Its description in RNAcentral is "partial 16S ribosomal RNA". It matches the Rfam family "Bacterial small subunit ribosomal RNA", at positions 568 to 796 of the family's 1533-position model. The record is from RNAcentral.
UGCGCAGGCUGGCUUGUCAGUCAGUGGUGAAAGCCCGGAGCUCAACUCCGGAACUGCCAUUGAUACUAUUAAUCUUGAAUACAGUUGAGGUGGGCGGAAUGUGUAGUGUAGCGGUGAAAUGCUUAGAUAUUACACAGAACACCGAUUGCGAAGGCAGCUCGCUAAACUGUUAUUGACGCUGAGGCACGAAAGCGUGGGGAGCGAACAGGAUUAGAUACCCUGGUAGUCC